Molecule: ribosomal RNA, 244 nt
Filed under: uncultured Bacillus sp.
Lineage: Bacteria; Bacillati; Bacillota; Bacilli; Caryophanales; Bacillaceae
Description: partial 16S ribosomal RNA
Rfam family: Bacterial small subunit ribosomal RNA
Source: RNAcentral
CUAGACGAACUGCCGUUGACAAAACGGAGGAAGGUGGGGGAUGACGUCAAAUCAUCAUGCCCCUUAUGUUCUGGGCUACACACGUGCUACAAUGGCCGGUACAGACGGACGCAAAGCCGCGAGGUGGAGCAAAUCCUAAAAAGCCGGUCUCAGUUCGGAUUGCAGGCUGCAAUUCGCCUGCAUGAAGUCGGAAUCGCUAGUAAUCGCAGGUCAGCAUACUGCGGUGAAUACGUUCCCGGGCCUU